AUAUUGGGCAAUGGAGGCAACUCUGACCCAGCAACGCCGCGUGAAUGAAGAAGGCCUUCGGGUUGUAAAGUUCUUUAAUGGGGGACGAAGAAAGUGACGGUACCCCAAGAAUAAGCCACGGCUAACUACGUGCCAGCAGCCGCGGGAAUACGUAGGUGGCAAGCGUUGUCCGGAAUGACUGGGCGUAAAGGGAGCGUAGGCGGCGCGGUAAGUUAGGAGUGAAAUCCCGGGGCUCAACCCCGGAACUGCUUUUAAAACUGCCGUGCUUGAGUGAUGGAGAGGAAAGCGGAAUCCCUAGUGUAGCGGUGGAAUGCGUAGAUAUUAGGAGGAACACCAGAGGCGAAGGCGGCUUUCUGGACAUUAACUGACGCUGAGGCUCGAAAGCGUGGGGAGCAAACAGG
RNAcentral lists this ribosomal RNA (401 nucleotides) under uncultured bacterium. RNAcentral describes it as "bacterial SSU rRNA". It matches the Rfam family "Bacterial small subunit ribosomal RNA", at positions 361 to 776 of the family's 1533-position model. The record is from RNAcentral.